Molecule: long non-coding RNA, 1121 nt
Filed under: Mustela putorius furo (domestic ferret)
Lineage: Eukaryota; Metazoa; Chordata; Mammalia; Carnivora; Mustelidae
Description: lncRNA (ENSMPUG00000024436.1)
Source: RNAcentral
GCCGGGUCAUGGUUCCCGUGGAUAUUUCCCAUGGUUCGGAUUUGGCCGGUUGCACCUGCAUGGUAACAUUUGGCAGGUCCCCCGUCCCAGGAUGCCAGAUGUCUGUGCCACCCUGGGCCUCCUGGUGCGGGCCUGCCUUGUUUCAGCGUAGCUUAAAUGACAAAAGUUGUGGCCCCAUGUUGAAACAGGGAGGACUAACUCCUGGGAACCCUUCACCAGGGACAGAUACAUUCCCCAGCUUCCCCACCUUCUGUGGGCCCUGUUCUAGAUGGUUCUUCAGGAGGUCCCCAGCUGGACUGAGCCCAGUCACCCAGGGGUAACCAUCCCUGAUUGGUCUUGUUGUUAAUGUAUUAGUAAAGGGUGAGCAACUGCUUUGUUUUCUGUUCCCCCAGGUUUCACUUUCCUCCUUCCCUCACUUCUUCCGGGGACCGUCUCCCACGUGAAACCCUCUGCCCCAAACCCUCGUCUCAAGCCCUUCCUCUGGUGACUCCAGAGGGCUGGCCAGAUUUAGGUUCCUUUUCUUUUUCUCUUUUUGGUAGUUUGGCGUCUCAGGUGCUGCAGUGUGCUUUCUGUUGUCCCUUACUGCCCCGGCAGCGUGUCCGAUGGGGUCCUGCUAGUAUUUGUGCCUUAGAAUAUCAGGGAUCCAGCGGGAAGCUUCCAGAGCCUUCCUCUGAUCUUACCUUGCAACCAUUCUGGACGGACUCCCCCUGCAUUUAUAGCUAAGCUCUUCCACUGCUGAUAGAUGUUUUCUGCCUUUAGGUAGCACGCUUUCCGUUCAACAGGAGGUGACGUGUCUGGCCCCCCUCAUGUGUCUCUCAAAGCAGCAGCAUUUGGUUCCCCUCCCCUCCACAGAGCCUUCGUGCAUGAGUCAUUUCUGCUGGGGGUCUGUGUGUUUUCAAGUCCUCGUGGACAGAACACUUGGUAUCACAAAAAUAGAAGCUCAUCCAAGGAACUUAAGAAAUGCAGCAAGGAUUCUGAGAUACAUACUUACAGGCAAAACAAGAACUCCUUGGGGAAUGAUGUUACAGUACCCCAAACCUGACCAGCAUCCCCAUGUGCUACACCAAGAAGGAUCCAGUUGCAAAGUGGAGGAAACAAAUGCAGGUCAGAGGUGCUGGUAA